UGCCAGCAGCCUGAAAGCAGAGAAGAAAUGCUGAGCAGCUCCGGCAGCAGGAGGAGGCAGUUCUGUGCUUCACACGGCAGAGGGGACUCAGCAGGUGUCGCUGAGCCUCGUCAAGAAGCCUCCACUCCUCCUGGGAAAAGUAGACGGCCACGUCCUCAAAGGUCAUGGAGCCCUGUGAUGAUGGGGACGGUUGCGUCCAUAAGCAGCCUCUCCCGGCAGGACCUGUCAUUUAGGUCCUGGGAGGUCCUGUAAGUUCAUCUGAUGACCUUCUGAGUCAAGAGCCACCACAAGAGCCUGGUGGGAGGGGUGCAUACACAGCUCUCCUCCCUUGUCCCCCAAGGGCAACGCCACUAUGACCGGAACGUGCCCCCACCAUAUCAGAUCCAGAGUUCAGCCUUGG
Molecule: long non-coding RNA, 400 nt
Organism: Panthera uncia (snow leopard)
Lineage: Eukaryota; Metazoa; Chordata; Mammalia; Carnivora; Felidae
Exons: 4
Source: RefSeq, a predicted model, not a curated record